GACGAACGCUGGCGGCGUGCUUAACACAUGCAAGUCGAGCGGUAAGGCCCUUUCGGGGGUACACGAGCGGCGAACGGGUGAGUAACACGUGGGCGACCUGCCCUCAGCUCUGGGAUAAGCCUGGGAAACCGGGUCUAAUACCGGAUAUGACUCCAUGACGCAUGUUGUGGGGUGGAAAGCCUUGUGCGGCUGAGGAUGGGCCCGCGGCCUAUCAGCUUGUUGGUGGGGUGAUGGCCUACCAAGGCGACGACGGGUAGCCGGCCUGAGAGGGCGACCGGCCACACUGGGACUGAGACACGGCCCAGACUCCUACGGGAGGCAGCAGUGGGGAAUCUUGCGCAAUGGGCGAAAGCCUGACGCAGCGACGCCGCGUGAGGGAUGACGG
This 385-nucleotide ribosomal RNA is filed under the name uncultured bacterium. RNAcentral's name for it is "bacterial SSU rRNA". It matches the Rfam family "Bacterial small subunit ribosomal RNA", at positions 28 to 414 of the family's 1533-position model. The record is from RNAcentral.